CAUGACUAUCAUAUUAAUUCCAUUUCUAACAACAGUGAUGGUGAAACUUUUAUAUCGGCUGACGAUCUACGAAUAAAUCUUUGGAAUUUGGAAAUUUCCAAUCAAAGUUUCAAUAUUGUUGAUGUGAAGCCAGCAAACAUGGAAGAUCUGACUGAGGUGAUAACAUCAGCAGAAUUUCACCCUACUCAUUGUAAUAUGUUGGCAUAUAGUAGUUCAAAGGGCGCAAUCCGAUUGAUUGAUAUGCGGCAGUCUGCUUUAUGUGAUACUCAUAGCAAACUGUUUGAGGAACAGGAAGUACCUGGUUCAAGGUCCUUUUUUACAGAAAUAAUUGCCUCGAUCUCAGAUGUUAAGUUUGCUAAGGAUGGAAGGCAUAUA
RNAcentral lists this unclassified non-coding RNA (375 nucleotides) under Hevea brasiliensis (rubber tree). The record is from RNAcentral. Lineage: Eukaryota; Viridiplantae; Streptophyta; Magnoliopsida; Malpighiales; Euphorbiaceae.